UUCAUUCGUCUCUAUCAACUAUAGAAAAAUUGUUCACAAAUUAAUAAAAUAAAUUUAUAAAAUAAAAUAGAAAAAUGGAAAAGAAAAAGGCAUCUUUCUUCAUCCUCCUACUCUCACAAUCAUUCCUCAUUCUCGAAAAUCUUGAACUAUGCCAGAAAACCCACUUUCAUGGCGGAUCGGGAAUUAUGCAUUUUGUUUGUUAGCCCCGAUCCUCGUCCACUGCAUCCCUCACCUGGGCGUAUUAUCCGCGAUCUGCUCCGCUUGCGUGCUCCACCACCAGCAUCAGCCGUUCAUCUGCCUUCAGUAUGUUUCCAACGUCUUGGGGCUCGGAUCGGAUGACGACAAUGAUAUCUCGCAAUAGGAAGUCUAUCAAAUAAUAAUUUCGCAAAAUAUAUUUUGAACAAAUAUGGAGAACAAAUUGAACAACCAAAGAAAUAUUUAGAACACAUGACAAAAAACAAAUAAGAUGUUUAUCAAAUAAUAAUUUCGCAAUAAACAUUUUGAACAAACAUGGAGAAUGAAUUGAACAAUCCGACAAAUAUUUCGAACGGGUGGCAAAGCAACAACUCAAAGCUUUAUGAACUGAUAUAUUGGUGAAACCUUCUUUUUCCAACAAACUUAAAAGAAUUCAACGAAACAACAUUUGAUUAUUACAGUGGAAAAUUUGGAGAUCAUUAAUAGAAUAUUAUUGAUUGUUCUACAAACCCAAAACGAAUAUGCAAUCAAAACCAGAGUAUAUUGAAGUUGGAAAUGAGGUCUUAUGAUUUCGGUUUUGAACUUUCAACAAACAUAUAUUGUGUAGUUCGCAUUUAACUAAGUUGUCAAAGUAAAUUCAAUUUAAACUUGUUCAUGUGGUUGAUUUGCCCAGAAUUAUAAUUCCAUGAAAGUGCCAAAAAAAAAAAUGCCAACUGAAAUCCUCACCUUGAUCGGCGAGAUGGGCAGCAAGCACGGGGUGCUGCGGUGCCAGGAUGCGCGCUCGAACCAGCAGCGGCAGCAGUCGUGUGCUUCGACAAGCCCGUCACGUAAAGUCAGCGAGCGACUUCCGCGUUCGUCGCAGAUGCCGACGAUUGAAACGAUGACCG
RNAcentral lists this long non-coding RNA (1082 nucleotides) under Salvia miltiorrhiza (redroot sage). RNAcentral's name for it is "long non-coding RNA (SMIL_LNC005424)". Lineage: Eukaryota; Viridiplantae; Streptophyta; Magnoliopsida; Lamiales; Lamiaceae. The record is from RNAcentral.